This 253-nucleotide ribosomal RNA is filed under the name uncultured bacterium. RNAcentral describes it as "partial 16S ribosomal RNA". It matches the Rfam family "Bacterial small subunit ribosomal RNA", at positions 524 to 776 of the family's 1533-position model. The record is from RNAcentral.
UACAGAGGAUGCAAGCGUUAUCCGGAAUGAUUGGGCGUAAAGCGUCUGUAGGUGGCUUCGUAAGUCCGUUGUGAAAGUCAAAGGCUCAACCUUUGAAAGCCGAUGGAUACUGUGAAGCUAGAGUACGGAAGAGGCGAGUGGAAUUCCUGGUGUAGCGGUGGAAUGCGCAGAUAUCAGGAGGAACACCAAUAGCGAAGGCAGCUCGCUGGGACGUUACUGACACUGAGGCGCGAAAGCGUGGGGAGCGAACAGG